GGUUUCAUGGUUUAAUGGUUAGUAUUCUGGACUUUGAAUCCAGUGAACCGAGUACAAACUUGGUGGGAUUU
RNAcentral lists this transfer RNA (71 nucleotides) under Xenopus laevis (African clawed frog). It matches the Rfam family "tRNA". Rfam says of the family: Transfer RNA (tRNA) molecules are approximately 80 nucleotides in length. Lineage: Eukaryota; Metazoa; Chordata; Amphibia; Anura; Pipidae. The record is from Rfam by way of RNAcentral.